CAAGCCUAUAAAUUGACGCACACUUUCAACAAUCCAGAAGCAUGGCUCUAUGUCUAUUGGUGAUGGUGGACGCUGGCGCAUUUGGCUGCCGCUACCGUUACCGUAUUUUUACCGUAUUUUAUUGUAUUUUUUAUCGUUUUUCGUUUUCAUCUUUUUACACACCUUGUGGAUCUAUUUCUUUUAUGUUACUUUUGAUACUUUUAUUUGUGCUUUUGAUACUUUUUGUUCUUUCUACUGUACAUCGCGUCUGCGGCCGGUGGUGAACGGUGGAUGAGUUUUCCUGGGAUCGGCACGAUGUUGAACUAUUCCGUUGACCAGCUGAGGAAGUUCAACAACUGCACUACUCCAUCGUGUAUUUCAGUCAUCAAACAGCUUGGACUCCUUCGCCGGCCUCGUUAUAUUCACAGGGGCUCCCGGAGAAAGCUUGUUUAUCUUCGAAACGAGCGCAAAUGGGGGCACAAUUCAGGAAAGAGAGGGCUAAGACAGGUGGAGGUCAGUUAUCUGCAACAGGCUUUACUGUGGAAGAGGAAGCAACACUGAGAAUACCAGGUCCAACAGCCACUGAAGGGAUAUCUGGGGGAGUAGCUGUAUAAAGUUCCCAUCUACCCCACCUCAGCAAACAACCCCUGUGCAAUAUUCACUUUGCAGCAGUCCUGGGUCAUCUCCCGGGCUUUCCUCUGCACAGUUCAGUCAAAUGGCUUUACCCAAUCAACAGGACUUCAUGGCCAAGCAGCUAAGUUAAGUUAUAGCUAACCAAUGCCAUCUAUUUCUUUGCCAGUUAUGCCCUCUGAAAAAGCAUUAAAUUUUUCUUAUUUAGAUGUGUACAACAACAAA
This is a long non-coding RNA of Trichomycterus rosablanca, 834 nucleotides long. RefSeq lists it as uncharacterized. The transcript is spliced from 2 exons. The record is from RefSeq and is a predicted model, not a curated record. Lineage: Eukaryota; Metazoa; Chordata; Actinopteri; Siluriformes; Trichomycteridae.